RNAcentral lists this ribosomal RNA (120 nucleotides) under uncultured bacterium. RNAcentral describes it as "partial 16S ribosomal RNA". It matches the Rfam family "Bacterial small subunit ribosomal RNA", at positions 28 to 156 of the family's 1533-position model. The record is from RNAcentral.
GACGAACGCUGGCGGCGUGCUUAACACAUGCAAGUCAAGGGGGCGGAGCAAUCCGCAACCGGCGAACGGGUGCGUAACACGUGAGCGACCUACCUCAUCGCGGGGGAUAGCCGGCCCAAC